Apis cerana (Asiatic honeybee) is the source of this 2484-nucleotide long non-coding RNA. RefSeq lists it as uncharacterized. The record is from RefSeq and is a predicted model, not a curated record. Lineage: Eukaryota; Metazoa; Arthropoda; Insecta; Hymenoptera; Apidae.
AUGACGCACCUCAAGGUGAUCGUCGACCCCGAUGCCACACUCUGCUCCCGCGGGCCCAUUAUCGCAGCCACUGGUGCCGUGCUCUCGUAACCUGAAAUCCAUACACGAAAUAUCGAAUAAUCGGCCGAAUCUACUUGGAACCGAUGUUCCGAAGGUACAUCCCAACAAGGGGUGUCAUCCACCGACACCCAGAUCCAGGAAUAAGGUUUGAAGAAUGAGGUAACGAAUGGAGGGGGAGUGGAAAGGGAAGGAAGAGGGGAUGGUGAGAGAAGCGUUCGUUCUCGCCUUCGGGUAGCUGAAUAUCCUCACUCCGGAAAUUGGAGUUUGAAGUGUGAAGAAACAAGGGAGAAGCGUCUAGCGAGCGGCCUACAACAGAGGCGGCCUAAUAAUUCAUUACACAGGCGAAAGGGAAAAACAAUGGGAGCGGUAGCUCGUGCCUCGUGAGGGGUUUGCCACCCAUGGUGUAUGAUAAUGUCCGGGACAAGCGUACAUUAUUCAACGAAAGAGAAAGAAGAGGGGGGGGAGAAGAGAAUCGCGAUAGUUGAGACUCAUUUAAACGCCACGUUCCCUUGCUGAGGAGUCCAUGGAAGCGCGGUUAUGACCGCGCCAGGUGACGAGGAAAAAGACCCAGAGGAGAGCCAGAGGAGGUUUUCCACGACUACCAGGAUUAAGGAUAAUCCUAUUAGACUUGAAUUAAUCCUCUGGGAACUGCAUUUCUCCUCGACGAAAUAUUAGGUUAUGCCGUUAUUACUGUACACGGCCCUGGCCAAAAGUCUGUUUUUCCUUGCCGCUUUCUCUUGGUUCUUCGCGCUCCCAUUCGCCAAGGGGAAUUAUUUCGAUUAUAAUUGUCACUGAUUCCUCGCGAUCUUUAAUUGUUAUUGGAUAAUUGUCGGUCGAUGGACGCUCGAGAAAGAUAAACGGUUAAAGUAAAAGGAUUGUUCUGCUUCUGUUGCGUAAAACACCUUUGAGUUUUGUUCUUUACGUAGAAUUUGUAAGGGAAGUUGAUCUUUCUUUCUUUCUUUCUUUUUUUUUUUUUUUCAUAUAAUUUCUGAAUUAUACGUAAUAUGCAAAAGCAUAUUUUUCGAUUCUUCGUUCCAGUGCGAUUCGUUCGCGGUCUCUCUUGGUCGUGCAAUUUUUGAAAGAUUUCAAUUGAAAUCGAUCCUCGCUUUCGACGUUUGUUUCUUUCGCUGCUCUUACAUUUGACCUCGAACUCGAUAGUAAUUUCGCGAGAACGGAUCGACGAGGAUGAAUUUCAUGCCGAGAGUUGGGAGCAAUAAAGAAAAAGAUCCCAGAAAUCUCGCGUCCCGGAGGAUGAAAUGAUGGAACUUGGAAAGAAUUAUGAAGCGUCUAGGAGGAUGGUGCAAGAAGAAUCGACGACAGAUCCCGGGCGUCAAAGCCAGCGAAGAAGCGCACUUAUCUUUAAGUGAUUGAUGUCGACUGGAUCCGUUCGAGGAAUAAAAAGCGCCUGUCGGAUGAUUUUUUAACGGGCCAACGGGUGUAUAAAGGUGUCACGACAUUCCUCCUCGCGAGAAGAAGGAUAUAUCAAGUUCAUCGGCCCAUUUAAGGGAGGAAAAUGGACCGGUAUUCGGAAAAUCUAUUAAACUCUUACUCGAAGAUGAAAAAAAAAAAACUUUGAUUCAUCCAUCUCCAUAUCGAUGAUAAUAUGAUAAUAAUAACGAUGAAAAUUAAGGUUCCAGCAUUGUAUUAAUGUAAUUUUCAAUGGGUGAAAUGCGAAAAUUAUAGCGACAAAGUUUCAUGCGAUAUAUACAUAUAUAUAUAUAUAUUAGCGAGAUUUUCGUGCGGAUUAUCGUGAAAAUGGACGAAAUAUCUACUAAUUUACUCGUUCAAAAGUUUGCAAUCGCAUAACUGUACGAGCGUACGUACAUUCCUCUAUUGGUCUCGAAUACCUUCGUACAAUUUGUACCUGAAAAAUUCGCUUGCGCAAGCUUAUUAGGGGGGAUAGAGUACGGGAACGCGAUUUAAAUAUAAAGGGAAUGAAAAGUCGAGUCUAUUACCUCACGGUGAAAGGGACACAAUGAAGAGUAAUUGUAUCUGUAAGAAAUUGGAAAUCCUCUUUGGAAAGUUUCCGCUUGGUGAAAAUUGUAUUUUCUCAAAUCCGAAGAGAAGAGUGGAUCGAUCGAGGUAAAAAUUUACGAAUUUCUAUCGGAAAAAUCUUGCAUUCGUCCAAAGGGGGUGAACGAGAAUUUUGUUCCAUUCUAUUGGACCGCUAUUGAUUCGAAUUUAAAAAAAAAAAAAGAGAGAGAGAAAGAGAGAAAAAAGAGAACAAGAGAACGCGGGGAUUAAUUUUGCACAAAUGGAUUGACACGAGGAAAACUUCCAAUGAAGUUUUCAUUGCAUCGUCGACAUAUGUACAUCUGUCAUACCGAAUCGGAGAAAUAUGCAAUAAAAGCGCGGGCGACGAUUUAUCGCUGGGAUUUUGAUUAAAAAUAUUUUUUAAUCAUCCCUGACGUUCAUAUAAAAACA